This is a long non-coding RNA of Sebastes umbrosus (honeycomb rockfish), 392 nucleotides long. RefSeq lists it as uncharacterized. The transcript has 2 exons. NCBI's taxonomy places the organism in Eukaryota, Metazoa, Chordata, Actinopteri, Perciformes, Sebastidae. The record is from RefSeq and is a predicted model, not a curated record.
UUCACUCACACACCGUGCUCUUUCUCUCUCUUUUGCUCUACUCUCACCCUCUCUCUCUCUCUCUCUCUCCUCUAAACACUACAACCACCUGGAGAGAAGAACACUUCCUCUCCUCUCCCUUCAGCAGGUGGAACACAGAGCUGAUGUGAAGCUGCUUCACUUGUCAGUCAGUAAUCCCAUCAUGAUCAUGAUGCGCCUCAGAUUGUUGUCAAUCACCAACCAGCGCUGCGUUCAGGGUCUCCUCAAGAUGGCGUCUGUGUUACACUUUACAGUCAACAGCGCUCCCAGCAGGCCACAGGGACGACUACAGGGGUUCCACCAUGGUGGGAACCAUCCAUGGAUAAGAUAAGAUAAGAUAAGAUAGAACUUUAUUAAUCCCGAAGGAAAUUCUU